GUGGGUAUUUGCAAGGCAGUGGUAGUCUCUGUGAAUUAUAGGCGUGCACCUGAAAAUCGAUAUCCCUGUGCCUAUGAUGAUGGAUGGACAGCUCUUAAGUGGGUUAACUCAAGAACAUGGCUUGAGAGUAAGAAAGAUUCCAAAGUUCAUAUAUACUUGGCAGGGGAUAGCUCUGGUGGUAACAUUGUACAUCAUGUUACAAUAAGAGCAGUGGAAUCAGGUAUUGACAUAUUGGGGAA
This 239-nucleotide unclassified non-coding RNA is filed under the name Hevea brasiliensis (rubber tree). The record is from RNAcentral. Lineage: Eukaryota; Viridiplantae; Streptophyta; Magnoliopsida; Malpighiales; Euphorbiaceae.